RNAcentral lists this ribosomal RNA (637 nucleotides) under uncultured bacterium. RNAcentral's name for it is "bacterial SSU rRNA". It matches the Rfam family "Bacterial small subunit ribosomal RNA", at positions 22 to 652 of the family's 1533-position model. The record is from RNAcentral.
GCUCAGAUUGAACGCUGGCGGCAUGCCUUACACAUGCAAGUCGAACGGCAGCACGGAGCUUGCUCUGGUGGCGAGUGGCGAACGGGUGAGUAAUAUAUCGGAACGUACCCUAGAGUGGGGGAUAACGUAGCGAAAGUUACGCUAAUACCGCAUACGAUCUAAGGAUGAAAGUGGGGGAUCGCAAGACCUCAUGCUCGUGGAGCGGCCGAUAUCUGAUUAGCUAGUUGGUAGGGUAAAAGCCUACCAAGGCAUCGAUCAGUAGCUGGUCUGAGAGGACGACCAGCCACACUGGAACUGAGACACGGUCCAGACUCCUACGGGAGGCAGCAGUGGGGAAUUUUGGACAAUGGGCGAAAGCCUGAUCCAGCAAUGCCGCGUGAGUGAAGAAGGCCUUCGGGUUGUAAAGCUCUUUUGUCAGGGAAGAAACGGUGAGAGCUAAUAUCUCUUGCUAAUGACGGUACCUGAAGAAUAAGCACCGGCUAACUACGUGCCAGCAGCCGCGGUAAUACGUANGGGUGCAAGCGUUAAUCGGAAUUACUGGGCGUAAAGCGUGCGCAGGCGGUUUUUGUAAGUCUGAUGUGAAAUCCCCGGGCUCAACCUGGGAAUUGCAUUGGAGACUGCAAGGCUAGAAUCUGGC